Cucumis sativus (cucumber) is the source of this 915-nucleotide long non-coding RNA. RefSeq lists it as uncharacterized. NCBI's taxonomy places the organism in Eukaryota, Viridiplantae, Streptophyta, Magnoliopsida, Cucurbitales, Cucurbitaceae. The record is from RefSeq and is a predicted model, not a curated record. The transcript has 3 exons.
UCCCAUACCCUAGCCUCCAUAGCCUCCCUCGUCUUUCUUUUUCUUUUCCUUUUCUUUUCUUUUCAGAUCUGCAGCCGACCGCCGAUCGCCUCGGUCGUCAUCGUCGGCGCUGCGUGACCCUCUGCCCAGCGACGUGUGAUCCUCUGCCCAGCCCUCCUCGUGCCCUUGUUUUCCAGCCGUCGCGUGACCCCUGCCUUCCAGCUGUGUGUUCCAAGUCGCCCCAUACUCCAAUCUUUCUUGCAAUCUUGUUUCGUUUGGUUCGUGCGUCGUGGCCUCUAUUUCAUCGUAAACUGACAAAGUGGUAUUGAAGGUAGCGCUUAAAUCCCUUGAACGCACAACACAUUUUAGAUCUUGGUUGAAGUUCGAUUUCGCUAAUACUCAAGAUAUUUUUCGUGGACCUUAGUUGAUUAAGGAGCUUCCCUAACUCGAGGUAAGGGACUUUCUAUUGGACUCACCUAAAGUUUUUGAGUUGUGUUGGAUUGUAUGGAUGAUGAUUAAGAUGUACACGUUUGGUUGCAGACUAAAUGUUUAGUGUAUGUUGUAUUUGACUGGAAACAUAUAUAUAUAUACAUUGAUGUGUGAAUUGAUGUGGAUUGCCGAAAGUAUACAUGUGAAUGACUGAAAUUAUGCUUAUGUGUACAUGAUGAUAUUAAUAGAUUGUGAUGUAUAAAGAUUUGGAUGUGAACUAGUGAAUUUGUUUCGGUUGGAUGUGGAUUAUACUGAACUGUGGUUUGCGAUGGUAAAAAUGAGGGGUGUUGUGACUUUGUGGUUUACUUGACGGAUGUAUUAAAAUGUUAUCAACGACCUUCGAACUUAAGUGAGAUAGGUUGACUGUUAGAAUGUUGAGUGAAAGAACUUUAUAUUUUGAAGUAACUGAAAGAUGUCAUAAAUUACCGUAAAGAUGGUUAGAAUGGA